UGCAGUCGAGCGGAACGAGUUAACUGAACCUUCGGGGGACGUUAACGGCGUCGAGCGGCGGACGGGUGAGUAAUGCCUGGGAAAUUGCCCUGAUGUGGGGGAUAACCAUUGGAAACGAUGGCUAAUACCGCAUAAUACCUUCGGCUCAAAGAGGGGGACCUUCGGGCCUCUCGCGUCAGGAUAUGCCCAGGUGGGAUUAGCUAGUUGGUGAGGUAAGGGCUCACCAAGGCGACGAUCCCUAGCUGGUCUGAGAGGAUGAUCAGCCACACUGGAACUGAGACACGGUCCAGACUCCUACGGGAGGCAGCAGUGGGGAAUAUUGCACAAUGGGCGCAAGCCUGAUGCAGCCAUGCCGCGUGUAUGAAGAAGGCCUUCGGGUUGUAAAGUACUUUCAGCCGUGAGGAAGGUGGAUGCGUUAAUAGCGUAUUCAUUUGACGUUAGCUGCAGAAGAAGCACCGGCUAACUCCGUGCCAGCAGCCGCGGUAAUACGGAGGGUGCGAGCGUUAAUCGGAAUUACUGGGCGUAAAGCGCAUGCAGGUGGUUUGUUAAGUCAGAUGUGAAAGCCCGGGGCUCAACCUCGGAAUAGCAUUUGAAACUGGCAGACUAGAGUACUGUAGAGGGGGGUAGAAUUUCAGGUGUAGCGGUGAAAUGCGUAGAGAUCUGAAGGAAUACCGGUGGCGAAGGCGGCCCCCUGGACAGAUACUGACACUCAGAUGCGAAAGCGUGGGGAGCAAACAGGGA
Molecule: ribosomal RNA, 741 nt
Filed under: bacterium
Lineage: Bacteria
Description: bacterial SSU rRNA
Rfam family: Bacterial small subunit ribosomal RNA
Source: RNAcentral